UACGUAGGCAGCGAGCGUUGUUCGGAGUUACUGGGCGUAAAGGGUGCGUAGGCGGCCCUAUAGGUCAGAGGUCAAAGGCUACGGCUCAACCGUAGUAAGCCUUUGAAACUGUAGGGCUUGAGUGCAGGAGAGGAGAGUGGAAUUCCUAGUGUAGCGGUGAAAUGCGUAGAUAUUAGGAGGAACACCAGUGGCGAAGGCGACUCUCUGGACUGCAACUGACGCUGAGGCGCGAAAGCGUGGGGAGCAAACAGG
RNAcentral lists this ribosomal RNA (252 nucleotides) under uncultured bacterium. RNAcentral describes it as "partial 16S ribosomal RNA". It matches the Rfam family "Bacterial small subunit ribosomal RNA", at positions 524 to 776 of the family's 1533-position model. The record is from RNAcentral.